AAUUGUUUUUGCUGGGUUCUUUUCAAAA
RNAcentral lists this non-coding RNA (28 nucleotides) under Cricetulus griseus (Chinese hamster). Lineage: Eukaryota; Metazoa; Chordata; Mammalia; Rodentia; Cricetidae. The record is from RNAcentral.